UACGGAGGGUGCAAGCGUUGCUCGGAAUUACUGGGCGUAAAGCGUGUGUAGGCGGCCCUGCAAGUUGGGUGUGAAAGCCCAAGGCUUAACCUUGGAACUGCGCCCAAAACUGCGGGGCUUGAGUGCCGGAGAGGGUGGUAGAAUUCCCAGUGUAGAGGUGAAAUUCGUAGAUAUUGGGAGGAAUACCAGUGGCGAAGGCGGCCACCUGGACGGACACUGACGCUGAGACACGAAAGCGUGGGGAGCAAACAGG
This 253-nucleotide ribosomal RNA is filed under the name uncultured bacterium. RNAcentral describes it as "partial 16S ribosomal RNA". It matches the Rfam family "Bacterial small subunit ribosomal RNA", at positions 524 to 776 of the family's 1533-position model. The record is from RNAcentral.